Molecule: long non-coding RNA, 2863 nt
Filed under: Manihot esculenta (cassava)
Lineage: Eukaryota; Viridiplantae; Streptophyta; Magnoliopsida; Malpighiales; Euphorbiaceae
Description: long non-coding RNA (MESC_LNC004217)
Source: RNAcentral
UUUUUACUUUUAUUCUCUAUUUUUCUAGUUCAUUGUUUGAAAAUUCUUAGUGUCAAUUUCCUGCAGAUUUGACCCUAUUCACUCUAUACACAAUUCAUAUUUGUUGGUUUUUAAUAAGUUAUUUUUUGUAGUUUUGACAGCUAUCAAGAUAAGUGUUAAUUUCUUUAGUAGCCCUUGUAAGUUAUGUUUUAGUUUGUUAUGGAGAAAUCCCAAUAUCUUCCUACUGAUUGUAAAGAAGGCCUCAAACCGGUCGAUUAAAUUGAACCGAACUGAUAUUUUUCGAUUUGGUUUGAUUCGAUUUCACUAUAUAUUCGGUUCGGUUUCAGUUUACAAUAUUAUGCUUUUCGAUUUUUCAAAUUUAGUUUGGUUCGAAACCGAACCGAACAAACCGAUUGUAUACCCCUACUUAAUGAUAUAUUUUGUAAGCCCAUUUAUUUGGAGUUAAGUUUAUGCUAUCUUAUUUGCUUUAGUAUUACUAGUUUAGUUGUUUGGGCUUAGUUUUGAAACUUAGUGUGCUGCUCCUUUGCCAUGGACUAUUAAAUUUAGUCAGUCUUGUUUGAGCACAUUAGAGUUUAGUUUAUCAUUCUCUUAGGAUUAAGUUUAGUUUUCUCUAUGUAAACUCAAGCCGUCCUUUGCAUCAUACAACUUCUUUAAUCAAAAUUCAGAAUUAUUCAUACUAUUUGCAUGUCUUUGUUAUUGUGAGAGUAUGAGAUUGCAUUCUUCCAAUUAAAUCAACAAUUAAGGUAAAGGUAAACUUCUCAAUUCAAUUGUGGCGUUUGGCUUGUUUCUUUAAUCCUCAAUUAUUGGUGUUCUUGCUGUCCUUUGUGAUGCCAUAGAGUGUAGUUUAUUAUUGAUCUUUGGAGCUAUUCCAUUUUAUCACAAAGCUUUUCGACUUGAUCCAUAAGGUUCCGCGUCAAAGUGACUCCUAAGCUCAAAACAUGAUGAAUAAAAUAAAACAAUAUGGCGGGUGUGGUAUAUGACCAUAAGGUAAGUUCUAUAGAAUUAUGGCUAGACCAACUGCAUUACAUGGGAGUAAAUGAUGGGCAUCUAAGGUACAAUAUACCGACAAUAUGGUUGUGGCAGAAAUAUGGAUUUUGAUAUAAAUGUUUGGUAACACGAUAAUAGAUAAGGUUAAUGAAUGAUAAACAUUCCAAAGAGUGCAUGUAGCACAAUUGGAGAUGAACUGAGAGAGAGUCAAGUUAAUAUGAUUUAGCAUAUGAGAGACAGUCUAUUAAUAUGAUUCAGUCAUGUCCAACCUAGAGUGUAGAAUGCCCAUUGUAGAAAGAUAAUAUUUGUUAUUGUUGUUGUAUUUCAUAAUAAAGAUUAUGACCUAUUUAUAUACAAAAGACGGUAUCUAAACAGGAAGGAAAAUCAAGUCUAUGAUUAUACAAUCCCUAAGAUUAAGCAACUACCCAUCUAUCAAUAUUUACUUCCUAUAUUAAUAUAUUUACUUCCUAUAAUCUAUAACACUCCCCCUCAAGUUGGAGCAUAAAUGUUAAUCAUGCCCAACUUGUUACAUAUACUCAACUCGUCCCAUACAACUUAGCAGACACCGAAUUUGUGAACCCAACUUCUUCCGAUAAUUGACGUACCCACAAAACUUCACAAACGGUUUUUGCCAUGACUCGACAUUCAGGUUCAGCACUAGAACGAGAGACCACAUUUUCUCAACUUGGUAAAAUGCCUUACACACAUCAUAAAUAUGAGAAAUAUUCCCUUUGCCAAAAUAUAGAAAUUCCAAAUACUCCAUUAAUUCUUUAACAAAUUCAGAAUGAUUAAUAAGACUAAUCACCUUACUGUGAAUAGAAUUUCAAAUCCUUGAACAGUACUCGAUGAACAGUACUCGUGAACAGUACCCGAUGAAUAAUUCCCGUGAACAGUACCCGAUGAAUAAUUCCCGUGAACAGUACUUGAUGAACAGAACCCUAAGUCUCCAAAUGUUAUCCUUUAUGAGUAACCCAAAUGAACAGAGUUCUAAGUCUCCAAAUGUUACCCUUUACGAGUAACCCAAAUGAACAGAGCCCUGAGUCUCCAAAUGUUACCCUUUAUGAGUAACCCAAAUGAACAGAGCCCUGAGUCUCCAAAUGUUUAUGAGUAACCCAAAUGAACAGAGCCUUGAGUCUCCAAAUGUUACCCUUUAUGAGUAACCCAAAUGAACAGAGCCCUAGGUCUCCAAAUGUUACUCUUUAUGAGUAACCCAAAUGAACAAAGCCCUAAGUCUCCAAAUGUUAUCCUUUAUGGGUAAUCCAAAUGAACAAAGUUCUAAGUCUCCAAAUAUUUAAGACUUGACGAGAGAGAAAAAAAUAAAUUUCUACGAACCUGGCUCUGAUACCAUGUAGAAAGAUAAGGUUAAUGAAUGAUAAACAUUCCAAAGAGUGCAUGUAGCACAAUUGGAGAUGAACUGAGAGAGAGUCAAGUUAAUAUGAUUUAGCAUAUGAGAGACAGUCUAUUAAUAUGAUUCAGUCAUGUCCAACCUAGAGUGUAGAAUGCCCAUUGUAGAAAGAUAAUAUUUGUUAUUGUUGUUGUAUUUCAUAAUAAAGAUUACAACCUAUUUAUAUAUAAAAGACGGUAUCUAAACAGGAAAGAAAAUCAAGUCUAUGAUUAUACAAUCCCUAAGAUUAAGCAACUAACCCAUCUAUCAAUAUUUACUUCCUAUAUUAAUAUAUUUACUUCCUAUAAUCUAUAACACCCAUAAUAGAAGUGUAGCAAGUUGAUAGUGGAAGUAGUACGAAGGAAAAGAGGAAGACUUAAAAUGAUGCGAGGAAAAGUAUAUCCAAAGAUUAAUAAUAGUUGGAUAUUGAUGCAGAUUUGAUGUAAAAUGAGCUGAAUGGUGAAAAAAAUAUGCACGAAACCAACUCCAACU